UAGGGAAUCUUCCGCAAUGGACGCAAGUCUGACGGAGCAACGCCGCGUGAGUGAAGAAGGUCUUCGGAUCGUAAAGCUCUGUUGUUAGAGAAGAACAGCGCAUAGAGUAACUGUUAUGCGUGUGACGGUAUCUAACCAGAAAGCCACGGCUAACUACGUGCCAGCAGCCGCGGUAAUACGUAGGUGGCGAGCGUUGUCCGGAUUUAUUGGGCGUAAAGGGAGUGUAGGCGGUCUUUUAAGUCUGAUGUGAAAGCCCACGGCUCAACCGUGGAGGGUCAUUGGAAACUGGGAGACUUGAGUGCAGAAGAGGAGAGCGGAAUUCCAUGUGUAGCGGUGAAAUGCGUAGAUAUAUGGAGGAACACCAGUGGCGAAGGCGGCUCUCUGGUCUGUAACUGACGCUGAGGCUCGAAAGCGUGGGGAGCAAACAGGAUUAGAUACCCUGGUA
This 445-nucleotide ribosomal RNA is filed under the name uncultured bacterium. Its description in RNAcentral is "bacterial SSU rRNA". It matches the Rfam family "Bacterial small subunit ribosomal RNA", at positions 355 to 792 of the family's 1533-position model. The record is from RNAcentral.